This 619-nucleotide long non-coding RNA is filed under the name Canis lupus familiaris (dog). RNAcentral describes it as "lncRNA (ENSCAFG00000034065.3, ENSCAFG00845003285.1)". Lineage: Eukaryota; Metazoa; Chordata; Mammalia; Carnivora; Canidae. The record is from RNAcentral.
AAUGAUAAUGCUGAUAAUGAUGAUUUUGUGACUCUCCCAGGCUGACACAGAACUCUUGCCGUACUCUGGACUCCAAGCUUUCCCAUUGAGCUGCAUCCCUGGGCUGCAGCAGAAAAAUGGUGGCUCUGGCUUUGGAAUGAAUUUCCCCUAAAUCAGUGUUUCUCAGACAUUCCCAUCAAAGGUGCCACCACCUUGGAUGAACCCAAUGGAGUUCGCCGCAAGCAUGAAAUUUCUGUGAGCAUUUUUAUGUUUUUUAUUUAUUUUUAAAAUUGUUAUGUUUUAUUUGAACACUGUAUGAGUUUGCAUUUAUAUUCAUGUCUAACAUCAAAUAAUACUUUAAAUUAUCAUCAGGUAAAAAACAUAUAAUUAUUUUUGUUGUUGUUUUUUAAAGACUUAUUUCUUCAUUUUGGGGGGGAAGGGCAAAGGAAGAAGAAGAAUCUCAAACAGACUCCCCGCUGAGUGCAGAGCCUGACACAGGGCUGGAUCUCGUAACCCUAGGAUCAUGACCUAAGCUGAAACCAAGAGUGGGAUGCUUAACUAAUGGAGCCACCCAGAAGCCCCAGAAGAUGUCUUUUUUUCCUAACCAAAUCAUUGAAUAAAAUGGAUUUUCCCAGAAAAU